CAAGAAGCUUCAGAGAAAGAGCUGACGAUGGCCCUGCUCAACAUGGUUGAAGCAGAAGAAGGAGAGUAUCAGCUGGGACUCACCAAGGUGUUCCUCAAGGAGCGUUUGUACCAGCAACUGGAAGAGAAGUGGAGCAGCACUCAGACCUGGGCUGCCAUCACCAUCCAGAGGAACAUCCGAGGCUUUCUCUGCAGGAGAAACUUCAAGUUUUUUAAACAGAAAGCCAUUGUCAUCCAGAGCCACAUCCGUGGACAUCAGGCCAGGAAAUACUACAAGCGUCUAAAGCAGUCUUUCUCUCAGUUUUGGGCGUUGAUGCUGAUCACCAG
Molecule: long non-coding RNA, 326 nt
Filed under: Gouania willdenowi (blunt-snouted clingfish)
Lineage: Eukaryota; Metazoa; Chordata; Actinopteri; Blenniiformes; Gobiesocidae
Description: lncRNA (ENSGWIG00000024497.1)
Source: RNAcentral